GCCUGCUGUCCUCUUAUUUUUGUCUGGCAGUGCAAGAGAGGCUGCCAUGGGUGUGCUAAGUUUCUGAUCUCUGUGAUCAUAGCAAGAUUGUCCUAAAUCAGACACAAGAGGGCAGAAGAAAAUGGAAAACAAAGACAAACAAACCAAAGAAGGAGGAUGAAGUAGAAGCCAUUCAUUCUUUCCAUGAACAUUGACCCUAUAUCCUGAAGGUGGAUCCAAUGAAAAAAAAGAGAAGCAGCAAGAGUGGUUUCCAUUUCCCUGGCUGGACUCUGAGUAAUAUAGCAGCAAUAAUUUCCCAAGGGAAAGGAGGAAGACGGGUUGGCUCCAGUGAAGACACUUAUGAUGUGAAGAGUUCCCGUAACAGUUCACCAUCUCUGGGGCAGUUAUACAACAGGGAUCCCUGACUUCUUCAGAACUGAGAGUUCAAAUCAGGACUAUCUGGUGAUGAAUCCAUCCACUAGAAGCUGAUAUGAAGAGUCAGGCCACUAGAAAACAGAAUAUCAUGUGAUCGUGUUUGACUGCACAACUGGUCUCUAUCAAUAUCUAUGCCUGAAGAGGAAGAAUGUUUGCCUAGUAAGAUUAGAAAGUGUGUGUAUAUAUGUGACCUUAUUCAUCUUCAAAACAGCAUUUUGAGGUUUGCAAGACUCUGCGGAUUAAUUGUGAGACUCAGAGAAGAAACCAACUAGACAGGCCAUUAAUAUUGGCAAAUCUUGUAUAGACACAAGUGGUUGUAAUUCUUACUACCGUUAAGACAGUAGAUGGAUGGCUUUGAAUUUGGGCCAAGUGAGCAAAGGCAGCCCCUCCCUCUCUACGUUCCAGCCAUUUUGCUCACUGUGAGGACUCAGCUGUGACACG
This is a long non-coding RNA of Gorilla gorilla gorilla (western lowland gorilla), 855 nucleotides long. RefSeq lists it as uncharacterized. The record is from RefSeq and is a predicted model, not a curated record. The transcript has 8 exons. Lineage: Eukaryota; Metazoa; Chordata; Mammalia; Primates; Hominidae.